RNAcentral lists this ribosomal RNA (114 nucleotides) under Geodermatophilus sp. Leaf369. Lineage: Bacteria; Bacillati; Actinomycetota; Actinomycetes; Geodermatophilales; Geodermatophilaceae. The record is from RNAcentral.
UACGGCGGUCAUGGCGAGAGGGAAACGCCCGGUCUCAUUCCGAACCCGGAAGCUAAGCCUCUCAGCGCCGAUGGUACCAUCAUUCCCGAAACGGGGUCACAGCUACGGCUGUGG